GAAAACAGGCAUUCUAUGGAAAAUUUUAACUGUUUCAUAAGUUAUUACACUGAGAGCGACAAAUACUUUUUAAUCACUAAUUAUACAAAUAAAAUGAUUGAACGUAUAACGUAACUAUUUGUACAACACAAUUCGCUCCAAAUCUAAACAAGAAUGAGGAUGAGUUAAAUAACCCAUCCACAAAUAGAAACAAGCUCGUAUUGCCUUCAAUUUAACCACCAGUAAAUUUGACGCCCUUGACCAGAUUGACACAAGCUCGUGGGAAAUCUCAAAUGUUAGAGCAACCAAUAGCAUUUGUUGUUCUCCGUAAUGCUUAACUUAUUGUGCAAAAUUCAACAGUAAUGCCAAAGAUAUUAAGAUGGUCAUGAGUAGAGAUAUAGCUGGUCUGGAACUGGCAUUUGGCAAAUAAGGAUAGGCAUCUGGAGGUGGCAUCACACAGUUAUCACCAUUGAAAUAAACUCUUCUUGGAAAAGCCCAACCUUUGUCAAAAGUGAAAGUGUUCUGGUCUUUUUGGAAUAGGAGCUCAGACUGCACAUUACCAAGAGGACCAGCUUGAUUGAGCAGAUCAUUGUAGAACUUAACUCCCCAUAACAUCGCAGUAUCAUUUAGGUCACCAUAUGGGCUCAAUGACUUGUAGUUAAAGCUGAAU
This 649-nucleotide unclassified non-coding RNA is filed under the name Hevea brasiliensis (rubber tree). Lineage: Eukaryota; Viridiplantae; Streptophyta; Magnoliopsida; Malpighiales; Euphorbiaceae. The record is from RNAcentral.